CUCAGAGAUUGUGUCCUGAUUGUGUUCUCCAACGGUGAUGUCUGUGUACAUGUGUUGAACAUCAGGAGGAACAUCGGUUGCUACCUUGGUAAGGAAAAUGUCUCCUCUUUCUUCUUCUUCUUCCUGUUUUUUUUUUUAUUUUAUCUUUGUACAAUAACACGGACCUCUGUCAGCUUUGUCCUUCUGCAGAUACCCCGAGGCCGGCAGUCCCUGCAUGUUUAACUUCUGUUAGAGCUUCGCAAACGCUACGUUGGGGGACACGACGGCCAAAAGAACAGCAGGAGUAAAAAUAUAGGCAACCGGUCUUUUCUUUGCCAUUUUGAAAAGGUUGCGGGCAGCUAGGACAGCUGAAAAAAAAUUUCAUAAACACCCGUGCGUUCUUGUUUUGACUCUGUGGUCUUGGCAGCACGGCGGCCUCGCCCUCAGCCUCGGCUCUCUCCUUCGCAGACCUGGGAAAGUAACAGGAACAAUCUCGGUAGCACCGUGCUACAAGACAGACACGCCCGCGUUGGGACCAGGCAGCGAUGACGGGUCUUGCCGCCAGCGCACACAUGAAGCGGGGCGCUCAGCAAGCAUGCCUGGUGUACAGCAGGAAACGCUAAAGGCGGCGAAGCACAUUCAGGACACUGCGUCGUAGGAGGCACCACUAAUUACUCCCUGCAUGGGCUGGAUCGCCCCGGGAGUCGCUGCAGCCUCCAGCAGCUGCCAUGGAGCCGGGCAGAAGCUGCUCCACAGCUGCCUCCCACCGCCUUCGCUGUCACCUCAGCUGUCUCCUGGCGAUGUCUUGGCCGGCGACACCUGAAUUCAGCCACCGCUCUUUCAAUUCCCUAAGAUGAAAAUUAAGUAUAAAUAGGAGUUUGCAGACUGACUCCUCUAUAGCGGAGGGGAGGGACAGCACCAAUGUAUUGCGCUCUGCCACAAGGUCCUGG
This is a long non-coding RNA of Apteryx rowi (Okarito brown kiwi), 929 nucleotides long. Lineage: Eukaryota; Metazoa; Chordata; Aves; Apterygiformes; Apterygidae. The record is from Ensembl.